RNAcentral lists this ribosomal RNA (548 nucleotides) under uncultured fungus. Its description in RNAcentral is "eukaryotic LSU rRNA". The stretch from base 200 to 353 matches the Rfam family "5.8S ribosomal RNA". The record is from RNAcentral. Lineage: Eukaryota; Fungi.
GUCGUAACAAGGUCUCCGUAGGUGAACCUGCGGAGGGAUCAUUACAAGAACGCCCGGGCUACGGCCUGGUUAUUCAUAACCCUUUGUUGUCCGACUCUGUUGCCUCCGGGGCGACCCUGCCUUCGGGCGGGGGCUCCGGGUGGACACUUCAAACUCUUGCGUAACUUCGCAGUCUGAGUAAACUUAAUUAAUAAAUUAAAACUUUUAACAACGGAUCUCUUGGUUCUGGCAUCGAUGAAAAACGCAGCGAAAUGCGAUAAGUAAUGUGAAUUGCAGAAUUCAGUGAAUCAUCGAAUCUUUGAACGCACAUUGCGCCCCCUGGUAUUCCGGGGGGCAUGCCUGUUCGAGCGUCAUUUCACCACUCAAGCCUCGCUUGGUAUUGGGCAACGCGGUCCGCCGCGUGCCUCAAAUCGUCCGGCUGGGUCUUCUGUCCCCUAAGCGUUGUGGAAACUAUUCGCUAAAGGGUGUUCGGGAGGCUACGCCGUAAAACAACCCCAUUUCUAAGGUUGACCUCGGAUCAGGUAGGGAUACCCGCUGAACUUAAGCAU